GAUGAACGCUGGCGGCGUGCCUAAUACAUGCAAGUCGAGCGAACAGACGAGGAGCUUGCUCCUUUGACGUUAGCGGCGGACGGGUGAGUAACACGUGGUUACCUUCCCUUUAGAAUGGGGUUACCUUCGGAAAACGGGGCCUAUUCCCGGUUAAUUUUUCAACCCCCAUGUUUCAUUGGUAAAAGAUGCCUUUCUUUUCACUUUUGGAUGACCCUGCGCCGUAUUAGCUAGUUGGUAAGGUAACGGCUUACCAAGGCAACGAUACGUAGCCGACCUGAGAGGGUGAUCGGCCACACUGGAACUGAGACACGGUCCAGACUCCUACGGGAGGCAGCAGUAGGGAAUCUUCCGCAAUGGGCGAAAGCCUGACGGAGCAACGCCGCGUGAGUGAUGAAGGUCUUCGGAUCGUAAAACUCUGUUAUUAGGGAAGAACAAACGUGUAAGUAACUGUGCACGUCUUGACGGUACCUAAUCAGAAAGCCACGGCUAACUACGUG
RNAcentral lists this ribosomal RNA (497 nucleotides) under uncultured bacterium. RNAcentral describes it as "partial 16S ribosomal RNA". It matches the Rfam family "Bacterial small subunit ribosomal RNA", at positions 28 to 507 of the family's 1533-position model. The record is from RNAcentral.